Mus musculus (house mouse) is the source of this 984-nucleotide long non-coding RNA. RefSeq annotates it as predicted gene, 32369. NCBI's taxonomy places the organism in Eukaryota, Metazoa, Chordata, Mammalia, Rodentia, Muridae. The transcript has 2 exons. The record is from RefSeq and is a predicted model, not a curated record.
AGAGAGUAGUUCAUCAGAUGGGAGUCAGCGUCCUAGAAAAAUUUUGUAUGGAAAGCCUGAAGGACCAAGUUACUGAACAGGGUCUGGAAGGCGGUCUACUUCCAGCCGAGCCUUGGCUUCCACGCCUUCCUCCAUCAGCUAUCGUUGUCUCCUUUGCGCUGUCUGUGUGCAGGCAGCUGUGGGGUGUGAACGCAGGCUGCCUGAGUUCAGGCCUGUUUGCUGUGUGACCUCAGGUGGUUAACCAACUUCUCUGUGCCUUGUUUUCUCAUGUGUAAAAAACUGUCUUGAGAAACAUAUGAGAGGAAGUUGUUGAAGUCUUUUGUGCAGUUACGGACACAUAAGUAACAAGCACUUAAGCAAAUCUUAGCCAGUUUUUUUCUGUAUGGGAAGUCUGACAUUCCAUCACACUGUGGAACUAAAACAUAAAAUAUGAAGAGUUAAAUUGGGCACUGGGAACCCAAUUCCUCUUCCCUCACUUGUCUGUUAACACCAGCCAGCGACUUUUCCUAUUACAGAAAAGCCAUGUGCUUCGGCUGAGCUAAGGGAGGGCGAGGCGCCUCUGUGAGGGAAGGAAUCCUGUGAUCUGGUCACUUAUCCCACACCAUCUACUGACGGCACAGCAUGGGAACUGGGUGGGAACAGCCUGGAUUAGAAAUGGCCCUGCGAUUCCAAGUGACACCUCACCGGCAAGCCUUCGCAUCUGCUCAGCUCUGCUCCGUGUGGACUGUGGCCACAGCACAUGCGCACGAAACAGCAGCUGUGGAAGGGAAUUCUGGCAUCUGUGUCUGGGGCUUUGGGCAGGUGGCCGAGAAGCUGCCUGUGCUGAAAACGGCUUUAUGUCAGAUACGGAAAGCAAGGCGCAUCUGUCCCAGCUGAGCUCAGCCCCACAGUGGGCCUUCCCGCUGAAAGAAGCUACACAAUAAGCCUGGGUAAUUACAGCAGAGAUUGAACGAGCCAGUCACUAUAAAUAGCUGAUUGAAGUCA